AGUGAACGCUGGCGGCAGGCCUAACACAUGCAAGUCGAGCGGCAGCGGGUUCCCGCGAGGGGAUGCCGGCGAGCGGCGGACGGGUGAGGAACACAUCGGAAUCUGCCUGGUUGUGGGGGAUAACGUAGGGAAACUUACGCUAAUACCGCAUGCGACCCUGAGUCGACGGACUUGGGGUGAAAGUGAGGGACCUUCGGGCCUCACGCGACCAGAUGAGCCGAUGUCGGAUUAGCUAGUUGGCGGGGGUAACGGCCCGCCAAGGCGACGAUCCGUAGCUGGUCUGAGAGGAUGAUCAGCCACACUGGGAC
RNAcentral lists this ribosomal RNA (308 nucleotides) under uncultured bacterium. Its description in RNAcentral is "bacterial SSU rRNA". It matches the Rfam family "Bacterial small subunit ribosomal RNA", at positions 30 to 319 of the family's 1533-position model. The record is from RNAcentral.